Molecule: long non-coding RNA, 2167 nt
Filed under: Heterocephalus glaber (naked mole-rat)
Lineage: Eukaryota; Metazoa; Chordata; Mammalia; Rodentia; Bathyergidae
Description: lncRNA (ENSHGLG00100042750.1)
Source: RNAcentral
GGCGGAGCCUGGCCUUUAGGGGUCCUCUGGCUUUGAAGGUCGCCUCCUCUUGAAUAACUCACUGAUAAGUUUAUUAAAGGUUUUCAGAGCUGGAUAUGGUGGCGCACGCCUGUAAUCCCAGUAUGUGGGAGGCUAGGUAGGAGAACUGCCAGGAGUUCGAGACCAAUCUGAGCUAUACAGUGAGUUCAAGGCCAGCAUGGAAUACAAAGCAAGACCUCGUUUCAAAUACAUUAAUAGAGGUUUUCUUCCGGCAUCUCCAACCUGGAUCUUUUCAAGGAAGUAGAGCAGGGGCUGUAAUUACCAUAUGACUAGAGGGAGAGUCUAGUUAUGAGCAGGAGACCCGAAAAUGGGCCUUUCUGGUUGCAGAUGGGGAAGGGUGGCCCGGCACUGGCUUCGAGGCCAGCCCCGCUUAGAGCUCCAGACAGCAGCGGUGUGGGAGAGAUGGGCCCAGGCUUAACGGGGUUGCCAAUGCUAGGUGCAUGGAGCUAAGCCUGGCUGCAGGUGGAGCGGGGUUCCUCCCAGGUGUGGGACUGUGUGAUUCAAAAGUUAAUUACUCCCCUAGAUUUUGUUGUAAAUUUGAUGGUUGGAGUGUGUUUGCCUCGGGACAAUGGACAAUCAGUAAUAGGGCGAGGUUACUCAGCCAUCUGUUUGCCCUAAAUCCAAAUGUCCCGGGGCCCAGUAUCUAUAGGACAAUCUGUAAACAGGGUGGUCGCAACUGUCAGUCAGGAUGUCUGCUGAACAUCAGCAUGUGAUAAUGAGCCACUAACCUUUGUUCUUUUUUUUCUCUGUGAAUCCACAUGUUAAACAACGCCCCCCCACCCCGCUUAACCCCCUAUAAAACAACCUCGGACUCUGAGCCAGGUGCCUCUCUGAGCUAUUUUGCUUCGGGAGUGCCGUCUGGCCAGACUAAUAAAGGUCUGUUUCCCAACAUGGCCGGUGUGUUCCUUCCCGGGUGUGCUCCACUCCACCUCCUUGGAGCAUUUGGUAAGGCCUUUGGUCUUACAUUCUGGAGGCACCGCUGGGAUCCCCGGGUGUGCUCCACUUCAGCUCCUCGGAGCGUUUGGUAAGGCCCUCGGUCUUACAUUUUGGAGGCCCCAGCGAGAUGCCCGGGUAAGGAACCCCGGUUCAGCCGAGACUCUAUGGCGGGAUCCAGCAGGAGACUCAGGCACAGACCUCAGAAAACCUCCGGAGGGAUUGAACUCGGGACCUUGCAUUUGCGCAGCAGGCGGCAGAACCACUGAGCUAAAGGCCUGGCCCUAGAUUCAUAUUUUUUCAAGACAAAUUGAAAAAUGAAGAGAAGGGGAGACUUCCCGGAAGAUCACAGAGUGGUGAACAGCAGAGAAACAGCCUCUCCAAGAUUUGGUGUCCAGACCCUGGAAUAUAGCAACAUGAGGAAGACAGGAAGGAGGGAAGUGGGGCCUCAGAACCCAGCAAGAAUCUGAAGUGAGAAUUGAGGCCCACGAGGACAGCCAAGAGAGCGAUUUCAAUGCAGAAGAAGGAGAUGGCAAGUGGCACUUUCUCCUUGAGCCCUGACUCAUUGUGUGGGAAGGGAGGCUCAAACCUGCAGACACAUGGUGACUACUGGUAAGCCCAGAGCCCUCCAUGGAGAAAUGCGCCCCAGAACAGAGCAUUUGACACAGCAGACUGCAGUGGCUGGUGAGUUAUUCGAGUUCAGACAUCCUCAGGAGAGGGUGAUUGGCUGGUCACCAUCUUGGAGAGGAGCCGACUGAGCUGGAACUCAGAGCAGCUGCAGGCGGACUCCAUCAGGGUAGGCUGAACCGAGUUCAAGUCAGCAGGAAGUCAAGGAGCCAAGUUCAAGCUGGCAGAAAUACAGAGUGUUGCAGCUGAACAAAUCGGGUUCCAGCCUCACAGCCAGAAACCAGCCUGAGCUUCAGAACUAAAGGUGCAGGCUUGCUGGGAUUACCCACUACCCCACCGUGGCAUGUUGGAAUUGAUCUGUGCUCUGUGUGCCCACUGACAGCAGAAACACACCUUGAAGGAUUGAACUCAGGACCUUACACUUUCGAGGUAGGUGCAUUGCCACUGAGCUGAAUCCCUGGCUCAAUAUAUCUUGAUUCUUUUUUUCCCAUUCCCCUUCCUUGCCUUCAACCCUUCUUCCCCUCCUUAUUUACAAAAGCUUUGGUUCCAUUUUUUCCCUUCUAUUCUC